This 1293-nucleotide long non-coding RNA is filed under the name Mus spicilegus (steppe mouse). RNAcentral's name for it is "lncRNA (ENSMSIG00000012270.1)". Lineage: Eukaryota; Metazoa; Chordata; Mammalia; Rodentia; Muridae. The record is from RNAcentral.
CUAGGUCAGAAUCAGGUGCAGGGCAUCUAUUUGGGACAGCUCCAAGCUUCGCAGUCUUGCGCACCUUGGUACCCACAUACCCCAAACGGGGCAAGAACAAGAAGAUGAAAGCUGUGCACCCCCAACCCCAACCCCCACCCCCAGGGCAAGGACUGUAGCCUGCAGGAGGACAGAAUUUGUGACCUGUUUUCAAACAAGCCAGCAGAAGCAAGAAUACAGUCAUUCCGCAGGCAGAAACUGUAGGCUACUUUUCGCCCACCUUCAACACCGUAAACUAGGAUCUCAAACCUUCAGAGCUCUCCUGUUUCCUUCCUCUUGCCUGUUCUGUUUCUUGCUUCUUCGCAAGUGUCCACAAAAACCAGCUCCGUAGCUGGAUCCUAGAGAGGCUGGACUCUGCCAAGGUUUGCUAGUCUCCCCGACUCCCCCUGCUGGUGGGUUUAACUACAACCCAAAAUCAAAAAAGCAGCUGUCCAAAAUAUUUUUCAAGUCAACUCCCAUGAUAAUAGAGUAAAUCAGAAAGGGAAGAGAAAAGAGAACAUCGAAGGAGUUCAACUCAUGCUCUAGGCUGCCUUGCAUGGUGAUUGAUGUGAGCCGGUCAUGCACUGUGACAGACGGGAGCUGGAGGCUUAAUAUCCUUUCGGAAACUAGCCUUGGGAUCAGGAGCUUUGGUAUAAAGGACGAUGAAGGAGAACUCGCCGAGGCCAGCCGAAGCCAGCCUGCUGAAUGCUGCUGUAAUUACACAGUAGCCUGGAGUAGCUCUUCUCAAAUCAAAUUAUGAGCCUGGAUUACCUAAAACUCUCAGGGCACCGUCCAGGUUUUCAUUUGUCUGGAGGUUGCUGUCAGCAAGCAGGUUUUUUUUUUUUCCUUCUCAUUAUUCUUUGCAAGGAUUAUCAAGGCCCCACUUCCGAGGCAGUAUCCCAGAGCUAGGAGACUCUGGGAAGAGGGCCGUUUUCUCACAAGGCUUGUCUCCCUGUGCACUUAUCGCUUACUUUUCAAAAGUAUAAAAGGAACAAAAUGAAAAGAAACUCUUUUUUUCCGUGUUUCAUACUUUUCUAUCAUUUGCAUAUCAAAGUUUAUCUCCAGCUGAGUUUACUCAUGAUUCUUUGGCAAAUAUUUAUGCUUUGUUAAUGUCUCAACCACCUAUACACCAAUUAGAACAAGAGUCAACAGGCUCAACCAUAUUUGGAUCAUUGUUUGAACACCUGACUGUCCCCUGGGAAGUGUGCACUGCACUAGAAAUAAGAGGAAUAUGAAGAUCAUCUAGAGGUCACGGCUCCUGGAGUAGAGGCUCCC